This is a long non-coding RNA of Drosophila novamexicana, 650 nucleotides long. RefSeq lists it as uncharacterized. The transcript is spliced from 3 exons. The record is from RefSeq and is a predicted model, not a curated record. NCBI's taxonomy places the organism in Eukaryota, Metazoa, Arthropoda, Insecta, Diptera, Drosophilidae.
AUCAUCAGUCCAUUCAAAUGGAACAUUCUUUUUAUUUAAUCUUGUUAUAUGCCUAGAAUAAUCGGCGAAAUUUUUGAUGAAUCAUCUGUAGUAAUUACAAAAUGCUAUAAAUCGUCUAGCGCUAUCCGAGUCAUGUGGAACUGGAUAAUUUAAUAUGACAUCAAACUUUUUGUCAUCUGGAUGUAGCUUCAAGUUGUGUAGGAAACACAUGUCAAAAACACUAAUUAAAUUGUUAAGCAUGUGUUUUUCGGAACAACGGAUUACUAUGAAGUCAUCCAUAUAAAGGAAUGCUUGUGAUGGUUCAAGACCAGAGAAUGCAAUUGUCAUCAUUCUUUGGAAUGAAUUUGCGGCUAUUUUCAAACCAAAUGGCAAUCGCGUGAAGCGAUAAGAGCCAUUGCUCGUUGAAAAGGAUGUUAUAUCUCUAGAGUUUUUGUCUAGCUCAAUUUGAUGGAAUCCUGACAUUAAGUCAAGGCAAGAAAAUAACAGUGGACUGUUGUAUUCUGAGGCUGAUGGUUCAACUAUUCCAUCUUUAAUUAGUUUAUGAGGAUUUCUAUAAUUUUUUAUAUAUACAGGUUCAUCAUCUUUUAAUCUUAGUUUCUGCUUAUAAAAAUUAUUUGUUGUAAUUGGUUCGGUUUCAAGUCCGAAUAUGU